GUGGGGAAUAUUGGACAAUGGGCGAAAGCCUGAUCCAGCAAUGCCGCGUGAGUGAUGAAGGCCUUAGGGUUGUAAAGCUCUUUUACCAGGGAUGAUAAUGACAGUACCUGGAGAAUAAGCUCCGGCUAACUCCGUGCCAGCAGCCGCGGUAAUACGGAGGGAGCUAGCGUUGUUCGGAAUUACUGGGCGUAAAGCGCGCGUAGGCGGUUUAUCAAGUCAGGGGUGAAAUCCCGGGGCUCAACCCCGGAACUGCCCUUGAAACUGGUUCACUAGAAUCCUGGAGAGGCGAGUGGAAUUCCGAGUGUAGAGGUGAAAUUCGUAGAUAUUCGGAAGAACACCAGUGGCGAAGGCGACUCGCUGGACAGGUAUUGACGCUGAGGUGCGAAAGCGUGGGGAGCAAACAGGAUUAGAAACCCGGGUAGUCC
Molecule: ribosomal RNA, 425 nt
Filed under: uncultured bacterium
Lineage: Bacteria
Description: partial 16S ribosomal RNA
Rfam family: Bacterial small subunit ribosomal RNA
Source: RNAcentral